CCUACGGGAGGCAGCAGUGGGGAAUAUUGGGCAAUGGGCGAAAGCCUGACCCAGCAACGCCGCGUGAAUGAAGAAGGCUUUCGGGUUGUAAACUUCUUUUGACAGGGAAGAGCAGAAGACGGUACCUGUCGAAUAAGCCACGGCUAACUACGUGCCAGCAGCCGCGGUAAUACGUAGGUGGCAAGCGUUGUCCGGAUUUACUGGGGGUAAAGGGCGUGUAGCCGGGCUGACAAGUCAGAUGUGAAAUCCGGGGGCUCAACCCCCGAACUGCAUUUGAAACUGUUGGUCUUGAGUAUCGGAGAGGCAGGCGGAAUUCCUAGUGUAGCGGUGAAAUGCGUAGAUAUUAGGAGGAACACCAGUGGCGAAGGCGGCCUGCUGGACGACAACUGACGGUGAGGCGCGAAAGCGUGGGGAGCAAACAGGAUUAGAUACCCCUGUAGUC
This 442-nucleotide ribosomal RNA is filed under the name uncultured bacterium. RNAcentral's name for it is "partial 16S ribosomal RNA". It matches the Rfam family "Bacterial small subunit ribosomal RNA", at positions 338 to 795 of the family's 1533-position model. The record is from RNAcentral.